UACAGAGGGGGCAAGCGUUGUUCGGAAUUACUGGGCGUAAAGCGUGCGCAGGCGGUUCGCUAAGACCGAUGUGAAAUCCCCGGGCUUAACCUGGGAACUGCAUUGGUGACUGGCGGGCUAGAGUAUGGCAGAGGGGGGUAGAAUUCCACGUGUAGCAGUGAAAUGCGUAGAGAUGUGGAGGAAUACCGAUGGCGAAGGCAGCCCCCUGGGCCAAUACUGACGCUCAUGCACGAAAGCGUGGGGAGCAAACAGG
This 253-nucleotide ribosomal RNA is filed under the name uncultured bacterium. Its description in RNAcentral is "partial 16S ribosomal RNA". It matches the Rfam family "Bacterial small subunit ribosomal RNA", at positions 524 to 776 of the family's 1533-position model. The record is from RNAcentral.